Molecule: ribosomal RNA, 649 nt
Filed under: uncultured bacterium
Lineage: Bacteria
Description: bacterial SSU rRNA
Rfam family: Bacterial small subunit ribosomal RNA
Source: RNAcentral
CAGGCCUAACACAUGCAAGUCGAGCGGAAACGAGUUAUCUGAACCUUCGGGGAACGAUAACGGCGUCGAGCGGCGGACGGGUGAGUAAUGCCUAGGAAAUUGCCCUGAUGUGGGGGAUAACCAUUGGAAACGAUGGCUAAUACCGCAUGAUGCCUACGGGCCAAAGAGGGGGACCUUCGGGCCUCUCGCGUCAGGAUAUGCCUAGGUGGGAUUAGCUAGUUGGUGAGGUAAGGGCUCACCAAGGCGACGAUCCCUAGCUGGUCUGAGAGGAUGAUCAGCCACACUGGAACUGAGACACGGUCCAGACUCCUACGGGAGGCAGCAGUGGGGAAUAUUGCACAAUGGGCGCAAGCCUGAUGCAGCCAUGCCGCGUGUAUGAAGAAGGCCUUCGGGUUGUAAAGUACUUUCAGUCGUGAGGAAGGCGUUGUCGUUAAUAGCGGCAUCGUUUGACGUUAGCGACAGAAGAAGCACCGGCUAACUCCGUGCCAGCAGCCGCGGUAAUACGGAGGGUGCGAGCGUUAAUCGGAAUUACUGGGCGUAAAGCGCAUGCAGGUGGUUUGUUAAGUCAGAUGUGAAAGCCCGGGGCUCAACCUCGGAAUAGCAUUUGAAACUGGCAGACUAGAGUACUGUAGAGGGGGGUAGAAUUUCA